RNAcentral lists this ribosomal RNA (435 nucleotides) under uncultured bacterium. RNAcentral's name for it is "bacterial SSU rRNA". It matches the Rfam family "Bacterial small subunit ribosomal RNA", at positions 530 to 965 of the family's 1533-position model. The record is from RNAcentral.
GGGUGCAAGCGUUAAUCGGAAUUACUGGGCGUAAAGCGUGCGCAGGCGGUUUUGUAAGUCUGUCGUGAAAUCCCCGGGCUCAACCUGGGAAUUGCGAUGGAGACUGCAAGGCUAGAAUCUGGCAGAGGGGGGUAGAAUUCCACGUGUAGCAGUGAAAUGCGUAGAGAUGUGGAGGAACACCGAUGGCGAAGGCAGCCCCCUGGGUCAAGAUUGACGCUCAUGCACGAAAGCGUGGGGAGCAAACAGGAUUAGAUACCCUGGUAGUCCACGCCCUAAACGAUGUCUACUAGUUGUCGGGUUUUAAUUAACUUGGUAACGCAGCUAACGCGUGAAGUAGACCGCCUGGGGAGUACGGUCGCAAGAUUAAAACUCAAAGGAAUUGACGGGGACCCGCACAAGCGGUGGAUGAUGUGGAUUAAUUCGAUGCAACGCGAA